Molecule: ribosomal RNA, 896 nt
Filed under: Corollospora ramulosa
Lineage: Eukaryota; Fungi; Ascomycota; Sordariomycetes; Microascales; Halosphaeriaceae
Description: LSU rRNA
Rfam family: Eukaryotic large subunit ribosomal RNA
Source: RNAcentral
GCAUAUCAAUAAGCGGAGGAAAAGAAACCAACAGGGAUUGCCCCAGUAACGGCGAGUGAAGCGGCAACAGCUCAAAUUUGAAAUCUGGCCCCGUCCGGGGUCCGAGUUGUAAUUUGCAGAGGAUGCUUUCGGCGAGGCGCCUUCCGAGUGCCCUGGAACGGGCCGCCGGAGAGGGUGAGAGCCCCGUACGGUAGGACGCCGAGCCGGUGUAAAGCUCCCUCGACGAGUCGAGUAGUUUGGGAAUGCUGCUCUAAACGGGAGGUAAACCCCUUCUAAAGCUAAAUACCGGCCAGAGACCGAUAGCGCACAAGUAGAGUGAUCGAAAGAUGAAAAGCACUUUGAAAAGAGAGUCAAACAGCACGUGAAAUUGUUGAAAGGGAAGCGCUUGUGGCCAGACUUGCGCCCCGGCAGCUCAGCCGUCCCUCGCGGGCGGCGCACUCUGCCGGGCGCAGGCCAGCAUCAGCUCGUGGCGGGGGAGAAAGGCGGCGGGAACGUGGCUCUUCGGAGUGUUAUAGCCCGCCGCUAUGCCCUGCCGCGGGCUGAGGUACGCGCACCGCAAGGAUGCUGGCGUAAUGGCCAUCAGCGACCCGUCUUGAAACACGGACCAAGGAGUCGUCCUAGCAUGCGAGUGUUCGGGUGCAAAACCCCUACGCGAAAUGAAAGUGAACGGAGGUGAGAGCUUCGGCGCAUCAUCGACCGAUCCUGAUGUUCUCGGAUGGAUUUGAGUAGGAGCAUGCUGGGCCGGACCCGAAAGAAGGUGAACUAUGCUUGGAUAGGGCAAAGCCAGAGGAAACUCUGGUGGAGGCUCGCAGCGGUUCUGACGUGCAAAUCGAUCGUCAAAUCUGAGCAUGGGGGCGAAAGACUAAUCGAACCUUCUAGUAGCUGGUUUCCGCCGA